GUAUGAGCUUUCAUGUGCAUGCACACUUUUUCAGAUACACUGAAACAAAAACAGUGAAACAGUGUAUCUGAAAAAGUGUGCAUGUACACGAAAGCUCAU
Non-coding RNA from Podarcis lilfordi (Lilford's wall lizard), 99 nucleotides. The record is from the annotation of a GenBank genome assembly. NCBI's taxonomy places the organism in Eukaryota, Metazoa, Chordata, Lepidosauria, Squamata, Lacertidae.